AUCGGUUUGGAAGUACAGACCUAUUUAUGCAAAGCAAGUUUAAAGCAGUUCACCAUUUAGUGUAAUCAUUAAUACCCUUCAUUGCGAAUUCCUUCUAAUUUAACGACUCAUAAGUACAUCUAGCACAAACCCUCUAUCCGCCCUUGGCGAAUUAAAUAAAUUUAAGGAAUUCUAUAUGUCAGCUACAAUGACUGGUUUAGUAAAAUGGUUUAACGAAUCUAAAGGCUUCGGCUUUAUUGCUCCAAAAGAUGGUAGCAAAGAUGUUUUUGUUCAUUAUUCAGCAAUUCAAAGUAAUAACUUUAAAACAUUGCAAGAUGGACAAGAAGUCAGCUUCUCAAUCGAAGACGGAAGUAAAGGCCCUUCAGCUGCAAAUGUUAUUGUUCUUU
This 386-nucleotide small RNA is filed under the name Moellerella wisconsensis ATCC 35017. RNAcentral describes it as "cspA thermoregulator". It matches the Rfam family "cspA thermoregulator", at positions 1 to 371 of the family's 428-position model. Lineage: Bacteria; Pseudomonadati; Pseudomonadota; Gammaproteobacteria; Enterobacterales; Morganellaceae. The record is from Rfam by way of RNAcentral.